UUGUGACUUUGAAAAAUCUGAUGGACACUGUCUCUUCACAAUCGAUUGUCAUUAACUUCACAAUCGAUUAUUUUGAGCGUUGAAAAACUUUUAUGGACAGUGCCUCAUCACAAUCGAUUGUCAUUCACUUCACAAUCGAUUAUUUUGAGCGUUGAAAAACUUUGAUGGACACUGCCUCAUCACAAUCGAUUGUCAUCAACUUCACAAUCGAUUAUUUUGAGCGUUGAAAAACUUUUGAUAAACACUGCCUCAUCACAAUCGAUUGUCAUAAGGUUCACAAUCGAUUGUCAUGCAGAUUUGAAA
This 303-nucleotide long non-coding RNA is filed under the name Nicotiana benthamiana. RNAcentral describes it as "long non-coding RNA (NBEN_LNC006114)". The record is from RNAcentral. Lineage: Eukaryota; Viridiplantae; Streptophyta; Magnoliopsida; Solanales; Solanaceae.